This is a long non-coding RNA of Syngnathoides biaculeatus (alligator pipefish), 812 nucleotides long. RefSeq lists it as uncharacterized. NCBI's taxonomy places the organism in Eukaryota, Metazoa, Chordata, Actinopteri, Syngnathiformes, Syngnathidae. The record is from RefSeq and is a predicted model, not a curated record. The transcript has 3 exons.
GGCCAAGGCCGCCGCCCGCCGGAGCGACGGCUGCGCCGGGCGCUCCGACGUCGGAUCCGGAAGCUCCCGACUCGCCCUGCUCGGAUGCCCGGAGCCUCUUCAUGAGAGUGGUGACUCUGACAGCUUUCUGUUCUGGCAGGGUCCGAGGUGGUCCACGCCACCUGUCGGCAAAGUAGACGAGACGUUCACUCAGCUGAACUGCAGUGGAAGAAAAUGGAGUCGUCGCAACAGUGACGAGUGCGCUGUGGAUUAAAACAUCCGGACUGACUGUCAGGAUCCGUUUGGACUGAAAAUGCUGUGUGUGUGGAAAAUCUGUUGGUAAUAUCAACAUCAAGCAUCUAUGAUAUCAUCAGCGUGGAGCCCACAGAAAUUCACGUUUUUUUUGGGGGGGGGGGGGUUUUCCCCUCUCUCGGAGGCACACAAAAGUCAAUGCGGUCACAAGCGUGUCGCACGUUCUCAGCGUUUUAUUUAUUGAAGACGCCGUCUGACUGCCGCUCCAUAUUUAGAAAUCAAUUUCGAGAGUGGCCGGCGAGCCGCUUCCAUCAAGUUUUUAGUCAUGCAGCUGCACUUUCAACAAGAGAGAGAAUUCCACGCUGACUUUCUCCCAAAAAAAAAAAAAAAAAAAAUAAUACAAAUCCCAAGUUGGCUGCUAUUACUUUAUCACUGCUGGGACACUUUAAAACUAAAACCAAAUCUAAAUCUUUUAUGAAGAUAAUCAUUAUUAGUGUCAUUAUUGCUGUUCUAGUUUCAUUUUAUGAAUGUCGAAGUUAGCUGGGAUAAGUUCCAGCACUCCCGCGACCCUUGUGGGGAUA